UGACCCUGUUGUUUCAUUUUGAUGUUUAAACGUUCUAAGUUCUGACGGUAGCUUUGUGUCAUAUACAUACACACGGCCUCAGUGACUAGAGUAGAAACUCUAGGCAUUAACGUGGCUCUGUUAUUUGCAACAUCAUUUGCUAACAGCUCCAGCAAAGCUUUUGAUCAUGCCAAGCUGUGUGGCUCAAUGAAAUCCAUGUAUAGAAUCCUAUCUAGCUGCAGAAAGAUUGCAUCAGAGAAGGCUGAAUGGUUCAAUUGCUGUUAUUCUAAAGCCAGCAUUCUGGGGAGAGCAUUAGUAUUCACAAACAUCAAAAGAGUCGCUAGAAUGGAAAUUGACCCUGUCUUGUAAUAUAAACAGGUCAGCUGUUUGAGAGUUUUCAAAGACAGUUAUGAUGUAAUAGCCUAUAUACAGUACUCACAGUCUAAUCUGUUUUAAGCUUCUCCUCUGGCAUUUCUCUUUCCCAGGAAUGAAAUAAAAGAAAAAGUGAAUGCAGAUAAAGAAGAGAGCUCAUCCCUUUUGCCAUUUAAGAAAUGGCCUAUUGUCCAGUCUCCGUAGGGAAAUGGCCUUGCUGGUAAACUCAAUAUUUACAUCACCAGGGCUGUUCUCUCAGAGCCUUUUUUUUUUUUAAAUGUGAGAUAUUAUCAUUUGGUGAUUUAUGAUCUAUGCAUCUCUGCUGACAUUUUUUCUGAAGUUUUCAUUGUUCAUAAAUGUACAUGACACCAGGCAAAUAGCUGGUACUGAUCGAGCCAGCUGCAGGUGCAGCAGACAUUUUAAAUAGGAACACAAUUAAAUGGAAAUCUGAAUUCUAGCCAGCGGGAUGUUAGCAAUAAUACAGUACACUGGGGGGGGGGUGCUGCUCUAUCGAUCCUGUGGUGUCUCAAUAAGCAACAGCUCACAGUGCACUUGCCACAAAAAGGUGGAUAUGUUUCAGCAAAGCCUUCUCCCACUCCGUGGAGUGGGUUGUAGGAGGACUUGGGUUGAGGCAAUUCAUUCAGAUGAAAGAUGUACGUUAAGGAUGAAAUUAUACUUGGUUUUAUCUAGCCUCUCCUCUUCUUUUAAAUUUGCUGAGUUCACUAGUUUCUUGACAAUCCCUCCUUCCCCCAAACUCCUACAACAAUUAUUGGUAAGCAGAAAAAUUAAGAGUGAAGAAUUAAUUUACACUGAAAAAUAUAAAAUCACAGCUUUCCCCAAAGUGACUUUUUCUAAAAUUAAAGGUGAAAAGCCGCCAAGAAAUUGCAUUUGGCAGAAACGCACACUGAUUUAAAUCUAUGAAGACGUUAAAGUCGAACACUGAGCUGUAACAUUGUGUAACUGGUCUUUGGGGGUGGCGUUAAUAUUUGAUCUGUGAGCUUCAGAACAAAUGUCUCACAUCUUUCAGAAAUGGGCAAAGAGGUCUACGCUCCGGAGUCAGGUCAGAAGCAUGGUGAAUUUUCCACAUGUUGAAGAGUUUUCAGUUGUGUCUUUCACAUUCCAUGAUGUAGAUCUCCAAAACACUUACUUUAUAAUGGAUGAUGUGCAAACAUGUUAACGUUUUUGGGAAAACCUCUCAGUAUAUGGUCUUAAAAACAGAAGUUUGAUGGAAAGAAAAUAAUACCUUACCAUAGGUAUUUUUCCAAUUAAUAAUUUACUGCAUGUAUAAAAAGUCACUAUCCAUCCGUCAUCCUAUAAAAUCACCUGGAGCAGAGCAGUUAGUGGCCAAUGAGUCCUACAAUAACUCCCCAUUCUCUAAGAAUCCCAUUAAUCCCCCCAGUUGCCCACUGGCAGUUCAGGGUCCCCCAUCACCAUCCCUGACACACACUUAGAUGCGCCACCUCAUUCUAUUCCUGCGUUGUGUACCCCCUCUACCCUCACAACCCAAUAUUUUCAAAGAUGAAGCCACAUAUAUGAAGUACAAAGAGCAAAGGAAUCACCCCAAGUCCCAGCUCUGCUCUUUCCUAUAAAAUCACCUGGAGCAGAGCAGUUAUGGCCAAUGAGUCCUACAAUAACUCCCCAUUCUCUAAGAAUCCCAUUAAUCCCCCCAGUUGCCCACUAUCUAUCUGAUUUUGUCCCGUUUUGUCAAACUCACCUUUAAGUUUGGGGGUUUCUCAUCUGCAGAUAAACAAAUGUGUCUCAGAGGUGGGAAUAUUAAAUUGAAUAAUGGUGGUAAAAGGCCUAGCAUAAUGAUUCCUAGUAUGUAAAUGUCACUCCAUAAAUGUUGGUAGGCUUUUCCCCUGCCUAUGUAAGAGAUGCAAUGAAUCACUUAAUGGUUUGUGCUCCUUAACAUGAAUUAUUUGCAUUUUAAAAGAGAUCCUUUGUGGACCCCAAAGAAUAAAAUAUUGAUAAUGGAAUUUUAGAGAGUAGGGCAGGAUGGUGUGAGUUAUGGUGAGAGUCAUUUUUAAGUCAGGAGAUGUUUCCAGGUCUACUACAUAUCACAGUGAGGACACCUAGUCCAUCCAUGUUUCUCAACACAAAAAUAAGAACAUUAUCUAUCAUAAAAGUGCAUUAAAUAGUGCCUCUCAUAAGCUCAAUGAUCCUGAUUUUAGGAAAUUAAGAUCAUUAUUAUUUGAUUGAAUUUAAUUAAACAGAACCCACCACCUUAGAGCCCCUGGGCUUCUUUAUAAAGAGAAUAUGAAUGUAAUGAUUAAAUUAAGUCACAGCCAAUAAGAUUCUCAUCAGAAAAGAAAAUGGAAGGACUUAUCUGAUUGAGAACUCUGAGUCAAUUAUACGCCUUGGGUGUUUUACGAAAGUCAUUGAAAUUUACCCUUGCUAAAAGAAAGAGACCACUUAAAAACUACUACUCAUUUAUUUGUGCAUUUAUUCAUCCCAUAUUUAUCAAGCCUCUUCUCCAUGGUAGACACUGUUCUGGACAUCUUGUGAGAAAUACCAGGAAAAAUGAGAUGCAUUUCCUGGCCUCCUGCAAAACUUGGAGCAGGGCACACUCCCAAAUGAAUAUAAUGCAUAGAAUUUGGAAUGCAGAAAAAUAUAUUUAUUUUGAUCUGAAAGUAUCAGGAAAGUAUUCUUUGAAUACAUGGUAUUGCAUUUAGGCCACAGAGUUAAGAUGAUUCAACAAAAUCGUUCAAGCAUUUUUCAUUAUAUUUUUACCAUAUGUCAGAAGCUAUCUUAAAUCCUGGAGAGACAGUCUCAGAAAGAACGGAAUUGUGUUUUAGCUCUGCUAUUUUCUAGCUGUGAGCUGUAGUAAAAUUAUUUACUUUUAAAGGGCUCCCUUUCCUCAACUCAGAUAAAAUAAGCUUUGACCUCAUAGAUGAAUAUUUGGAGGAAAUAAUGCAUUUAUUGUGCUCAAUAAAUGUUUACUCUUGUUAUUAUAACAGUUCAUUGGUUUCCUCUCUUCCUUUGUUUUUCUCUAAACUCUCCCAUUUCUGUCAGUCUCAAUCUCAUCAAGCAAAACUUUAAUCAACACAAUCCAAGCAAAGAUUUGGUAGAUUUUCUGAAUCUCUAGAGAAAUUCUACAUAAACACUUCACUUUUGCAUUCAAUGUGUAUGAUGAUCUGUUUCUAACCAUUUUGUUAUUUGUACUGUCUAAUUUCUAGAUCAAUCAGAUUCUAGGACAUUGUGGAAUUGUGACCUGGACUCUACUGCCUUUGUAUCUUUAGACAUAUUCAAGGGAAAGUUCUUUGCUUUUUCUUCUAUUAGUGUUCUUAUUUUCUGAAAUAGUAUUCAAGACCCAGCUCACCUCCUCUGUUAAACUCUCCCAAGUACUCCUGGCUCAUUACCUUUCUUUGAAUCUAGUGUUGAUCAUGUUAAAACACCACUGAGAAACUUUUCUGCUUUUCAUUCCUUGAUGAAUCAAAUCUGAACAUUUUAGCAUGACAUGCCCCUUAUAGUCAAGUCAUCUACAUGGUUUCUCAAAUAUGCUGUGUUCUUUUGUGCCUUUCUUAUGCUAUCUUCUCCAUAUGGAAUGUUCUAUACCACUUUAAAAUCUUUGGCCUUUUACACUGUUGGUGGGAAUGCAAAUUGCUACAACCACUACAGAAAACAGUAUGGAGGCACCUCAGAAAACUAAAUACAGACCUGCCAUACGACCCAGCAAUCCUACUCUUGGGCAUAUAGCGGGCCUAAACUUUCCUUGAAAAUGACACAUGCACCCGCAUGUUCAUUGCAGCACUAUUCACGGUAGCCAAGACAUGGAAACAACCUAAAUGUCCAUCAACAGAUGAAUAGAUUAAGCAGAUGUGGUAUAUAUACACAAUGGAAUGCUAUUUAGCCAUAAAAAGAACAAAAUAAUGCCAAAUGCAGCAACAUGGAACUAGAGAUUCUCAUAUUAAGUGAAGUAAGCCAGAAAGAGAAAGACAAAUACCAUAUAUAUAUAUCACUUAUAUCUGGAACCUAAUAUAUGGCAUAAACGAACCUCUCCACAAAAAGAAACUCAUGGACUUGGAGAACAGACUUGUGGUUGCCAAAGGGGAGGAGGAAGGACUGGGAUGGACUGGGAAUCUGGGGUUAAUAAUGCAAACUAUUGCCUUUGGAAUAGAUAAACAAUGAGAUACUGCUGUAUAGUACUGGGAACUAUAUCUAGUCACUUAUGAUAGAGCAUGACAGAGGAUAAUGUGAGAAAAAGAAUGUAUAUAUGUAUGUGUGAUUGUAUCACUUUGCUGUACAAUAGAAAAUUGACAGAACAGUGUAAACCAACUAUCAUGGAAAAAAAUAAAAAUUAUUUAAAAAAACAAAAACAACAACAAAAAAGUUGGAAAAAAAUAAAAUAAAAUCUUGGCCUUUUAAAUGGCCAGAUCUGGGAAGACUUUCUGGAUGGCUUCAAUAGAAAUUAAUCUCAUCUAUCCUUACAACACCUCAUCUACAUUCUGUUUUAGCACUCAGCAAACUCACAGCACACAGCUAGCAGUACGUUCCUACCUGGCUUCAAAGAGUAUGAAUUCCUGAAGGCACAGGCUAAUUUUUAUUUGUCAUUAAAUGACCCAUUUAUAUCACUGUACCUGCCACACCAGGACUCAAUACAUGUUAACUGAAUGGUGUAGAGGACACAGAGUGUCCCAGAGACAGAACAGUGGCUCUCAAUGUGAUCAUCUUGCCUGAUUCAAGAAGUGGCUCAGUGGAAACGAACCUGACUAGCAUCCAUGAGGAUGCAGUUUCGAUCCCUGGCCUUUCUCGGUGGGUUAAGGAUCCAGUGCUGCUGAGAGCUGUGGUGUAGGUCAUAGACCCGACUCGGAUCCCGGAUUGCUGUGGCUGUGGCAUAGGCUGGCAGCUACAGCUCCCAUUUGACCCCUUGCCCGGGAACCUCCAUGUGCCCUGGGUGCAGUCCUAAAAUGACAAAAAAAAAAA
RNAcentral lists this long non-coding RNA (5274 nucleotides) under Sus scrofa (pig). RNAcentral's name for it is "lncRNA (ENSSSCG00030063825.1)". The record is from RNAcentral. Lineage: Eukaryota; Metazoa; Chordata; Mammalia; Artiodactyla; Suidae.